This is a long non-coding RNA of Bubalus bubalis (water buffalo), 4342 nucleotides long. RefSeq lists it as uncharacterized. The transcript is spliced from 2 exons. The record is from RefSeq and is a predicted model, not a curated record. Lineage: Eukaryota; Metazoa; Chordata; Mammalia; Artiodactyla; Bovidae.
UCUAUUUGUCACUUCCACCCUAUUACCGUGACUUAGAUCAUACCUGAAUGGUCUAGUAGUUUUCUGUAGUUUCUUCAGUUUACAUUUGAAUUUGGCAAUAAGGAGUUCAUGAUCUUAAGCGCUCUCUUAAGGUUACUACUUUCAGUCUUAUAUGCUAGUGUAGCAGCGGGGUCGUUCAUCAUGAAACUCGUUUUUUGUUUUUUUAAACAUAUAUGUGUCAUGUAUAUAUGUAAUGUGUGUGUGUGUGUGUGUGUGUGUGUGUGUGUGUGUGUGUGAAGUCGCUUCAGUGUUGUUUGACUGUGACCCUGUGGGUUGUAACCCGCCAGGUUUCUCUGUCCAUGGGGUUUUCCAGGCAAGAACGUUGGAAUGGGUUGCCAUGCUCUCUUCCAGGGGAUUUUCCUGAGCCAGGGAUCAACCACAUCUCUUACAUCUCCUUCAUAGGCAGGCGGGUUUGUGGUUUGUUACCACUAUCGCUGUUCAUUAAUGUUAAACCCCUUUUAUUCUCUGUUACUAUUCCUCAUCCUCUGGGGUCUGGAAGGAUUUUCAUGGCUGUACUUAAAAAAACUUGUAUCUGUACCUUUUCAAGAGAUUGUUGAACCUUCAAAAUUAAUCCUUUAAUCCUGUUUAUCGCAUAUCCCUUUUCUCACAUUUUCAUUUAUUUCAUCAAGGAUAUUUGCUUGAUUGUAUUUGCUUCUUCAAAGUUUUUGAUUACUUUUAUUUUACAUAAAUUUCCAUUUCCUCUAUUUUUAGGGUUAUUUUGAAGAUUAAAUGGCGUGAUCCAUGUACAUGGCCUGGAAGUACCGUAGAAGUAGUACUUAGAAAUACUAUUAAAGUACUAUAGAAAUAGUAGUUUCCUAAUGAACAAGGGAAACCACAUUUAAGUAAUUUUUUUAUUUUGUUAGGAGUUGAGGUACAUAAUCUUUCUUACUUACCUGACAGAUUUUUUGUUCUUUUUACUCAUGUCUGACUCUUUGGACCUUAAUGGCCAGCAGCCUGCCUCGGCUCCUCUGUGUUCUGCUCUCUCCCGGAGUUUGCUCAAAUUCGUGUCCAUUGAGUCAGUGAUACUCUCUGACCAUCUCAUCUUCUGCCUCCCUCUUCUCCUUUUGCUUACAAAAUUUACCAGCAUCAAGGUCUUUUCCGAUGAGUCGGCUCUUCCCAUUACGUGGCCAGAGAAUAGAACAGAAACUUCAGCUUCAUCAUCAGUCCUUCCAAUGAAUAUUUAAGGUUGAUUUCCUUUAGGAUUGACUGGUUUGGUCUCCUUGCAGUCCCAGGGACUCUCAAGAGUUAUCUCCAACACCACAGAUUGAAAGCCUGUAUUCCUCGGGCCUCAGCCUUCUUUAUGGUCUAACUCUCCCAUCCGUACAUGACUGCUGGAAAAAUCAUAGCUUUGACUUGGACAGUAUGAAAAGGAGGCCAGGUAGCCAGUGCUUAAAAGGCCCAAACUCCUUGGUGCUCUGGGAUAAACCCUGUGCCUUUCUUCACCACAGCCUGUGUCAGUAGAUUGGCUUUACUGCAUGUGGACCCAAGUUUGGUUUGGUACCAACAGUUUGAAAAUCAUUUAUGUGGUAUUUCUGAAAUAAGAGGAAUGUUGGAAAAUGCUGCCAUCCAUAAAAAGUGUGUGGCUGCCAUGGAUCCAACGGAGGUUGCCAGGUUAAAGUCAAGACUGGUUUUAGGAGGUAUUAUUUCUAUAAUCUGCUGUUACUAGAGACGUUUCUGUGUGGAGUCCUCAAAAUCUGAAAUCCACAAGGAGCCUGUGUUCUUCAUCAGGAGAAGGAGAAGCCUGCACACCGCAACGAAGAAUAGCCCCUGCUCAUUGCAACUACAGAAAGCCCCCGUGCUGCAGUGAAGACCUGCACAGUCAAAAAUGAAAUGAAUAAAUAAUUAAUAAAAAUAAAUAAAAUCUAUGUUGUGAUUAUACUUCUGGGGAGGGGUGGGGUGCCCAGUGUGGGGACCAGUGAAACAUACUGCAUUCAUCUCCCUGGCAGAUGAUGGUAGGGAUGAUAGAGAAAGACGAGCUCUGAAAGAGAUGUUAAGUGGCAGGGUUGACAGGACUUGGGGGUUGGUUUGUUGACGAAACUUCAAUUCAAUGUCAAGAAGAAACAAAAAUUUUAUUUUAACCAGUCUGAAGGUUAUAACUUGAGAAGCAGAUUCUCAGAAAGCAAUUAGAAGGUAAAGACACAAUUACAUACCUUCUUCAAAGAAUCGUACAUCAAAAUGACAUACUGAGGGCUUCUCUGGUGGUACAGUGUACAGCGUUGGCAGGAGACAUAGGUUCCAUCCCUGGUCCAGGAAGAUUCCUCAUGGCAAGGGCAACUAAAUCCUGUGUGCCACAACCAGUGAACUGCGCCACCCCCCCACCCCCACCCCACGCCGCAGAGUCCAUGCUCCGAAACAAGAGAGAAUGAAGAGUAGACCCCACUUACUACAUCUCAAGACCCUGAGCACAGCAACGAAUAACCUGGGCAACAAAAAAUAAAUUUAAUAAUGAUUUUUAAAAAGUAAAUAUUAAUAUUUUACAUUAAGUUCACCGAAGAACAGGUAGUCCAGGUGAACUGGAACAGGUACAAAGUAAGCAGUAAGUGACCAGCCUCUGCUAUAGAGUAGAGCAAGAAUACAAUUCUUUUAAGAAGUCUCAUUGCAAGUGUUAGAAGGAAAAAACAUGGUUUUUUGCAACCUCCACAGAGCAACUAAGCCCAAGUGCUCUAGAGCCCGAGCCUGCAUCAAGAAAGAGAAACCUAAAAACCUAAACACUGCAGCGAAGAGUAGCCCUGCUUGUUGAUGUGGUUUUCUCCACUUAAAUGCAACCUCCAAAGAGAGGCCUUCCCUGAGCACCCAAAUCUGAAGUGGCCGUCAAAUCCCUCUCUGGACUCUUAUCAUCCUCUGCAUGCCUCAUCAUCUCAUCCUCUGGGUAAUUGUCAUCUCUCUCCCCUACCAGGGUGUAAGCUUUUUGUGAGAGUAGGGACCUCUGUUUGCCCAGUACCUAGAGUAAUCUUUAGCACAUAGAAAGCCAAACCAGGAUGAUGGUUAAGGUGACACCUACCAGCUCUGCUAUUGACAGACCUCAGGCCAGUAACCGGAGGCCUUUCUGUGCCUUAGUUCCCCCAUCCAUAAAAAUGGGACGAUUGUACUUGUAUUGGUCUCAUAGUUAAAGCAGUUAAAAUGAUGAAUGGUGCUGGCAAACUCACAGUAAAUAGUAGCUGUAUUGUCAUAGUUGGCUCUCAGGUAUUUGUCGGGAGAAGAAAUGAUGUCAAAGGCAGCUGUCAGCUUUAUUUUAAAAAAUCAGAAAGUGUGAACAGGUAGUGUAAUCUUUCUGUGGCAAAAACCCCAGAGGUUCUGUUUUCCAGAGCUGGUUGUCAGCCACCCAGUCCCCCCGUCUCUGCCUCAGUCAUGGUGACCUCUUAUGAGAGUUUGAAAGUCUGACUUCUUGGAUAGGCUUGAAUGCAGCUGCUCGUGAGUUUGAGUGAACUCCGGGAGUUGGUGAUGGACAGGGAGGCCUGGCGUGCUGCGAUUCAUGGGGUCGCAAAGAGUUUGACACGACUGAGCAACUGAACUGAACUGAACUGACUUAAGGUUGAGUGAUCAGUGGAAUCAGCUAGGUUCUCAGAAGCAAAGGCAGAGACCCGCCCUUUCCUGUACAGCUUUCAGGGGCGGGGCGGCUUUAGUCCAUCUGUGCCGCGAAUGCCUUCUGGGCUUUAAAGACUGGGGUUGUGAUUGGCUGUCACUCUGUAUUAUGUAAAUUAAGUUUGAUUUUUUUAAAAUGUUAAAUUACAUUUUCAGUGAAAAUGUUCAAAUGAGUUGGUAAGUGACAGCAUUUGAAAGCUGUAUUGCAGGAGCUCUUUCUGUUUUUUUCCCAGUAGAAGAAAAAAUGGCCAAGUGGUGGGGAAACUGUGUUGCCCUCAGUGCAAAGUUCACAGCUAGCACAGACCCGGCAGCGGCCGGGGGCUGGAGGUUAAGACUAUACUUUCAGGGAUCAUUUCUAUAGUUUGUUACUAGAGAAGUUUCUCUGAAUGUGUGGAGCACCCGAAACCAUGAGGAGGAGAUGCAGUGUUCUCUCCUGAGCGUGAAGCUGGUCCUUGGUGUUGCUUUUGCAGCUGCCAUUGGCCGUUGAUGAUCAUUCUUCUCUUCCUUUGGGAGAGUUAGAAGGAGAGGAUACCAUCUGAGUGGUUUACCUUGCAAUUGACUUUUUCUUAAGAAAAGUGAGUUGUUAGUGGUGUGUUUUCUUCUGUCUUAGUUCUCUAACAGCUUUAUGUUUUAAUGAGGCUUAUAUUAUUGCAUCCCUUGUAAGAAUCUACCUGCAAUGCAGGAGACCCAGCUUUGAUCCUUUGGUAGGGAAAAGCCCCCA